RNAcentral lists this ribosomal RNA (249 nucleotides) under uncultured Verrucomicrobiaceae bacterium. RNAcentral's name for it is "partial 16S ribosomal RNA". It matches the Rfam family "Bacterial small subunit ribosomal RNA", at positions 355 to 596 of the family's 1533-position model. The record is from RNAcentral. Lineage: Bacteria; Pseudomonadati; Verrucomicrobiota; Verrucomicrobiia; Verrucomicrobiales; Verrucomicrobiaceae.
UCGAGAAUCAUUCACAAUGGGCGAAAGCCUGAUGGUGUGACGCCGCGUGGAGGACGAAGGCCUUCGGGUUGUAAACUCCUGUCAAGUGGGGGUAAGGCUUGCCGUUUAACUGACGGUGAGAUUGAUAGUACCACUAGAGGAAGGGACGGCUAACUCUGUGCCAGCAGCCGCGGUAAUACAGAGGUCCCAAGCGUUGUUCGGAAUCACUGGGCGUAAAGGGUGCGUAGGCGGCGGGGUAAGUCAGAGGUG